RNAcentral lists this small nuclear RNA (107 nucleotides) under Suricata suricatta (meerkat). Lineage: Eukaryota; Metazoa; Chordata; Mammalia; Carnivora; Herpestidae. The record is from RNAcentral.
GUGCUCGCUUCGGCAGCACAUAUACUAAAAUUGGAAUGAUACAGAGAAGAAUGGCGUGGCCCCUGCGCAAGGAUGACACGCAAACUCGUGAAGCGCUCCAUAUUUUU